GAUGAACGCUGGCGGCGUGCCUAAUACAUGCAAGUCGAGCGAACGGACGAGAAGCUUGCUUCUCUGAUGUUAGCGGCGGACGGGUGAGUGACACGUGGAUAACCUACCUAUAAGACUGGGAUAACUUCGGGAAACCGGGGCUAAUACCGGAUAAUAUUUUGAACCGCAUGGUUCAAAAGUGAAAGACGGUCUUGCUGUCACUUAUAGAUGGAUCCGCGCUGCAUUAGCUAGUUGGUAAGGUAACGGCUUACCAAGGCAACGAUGCAUAGCCGACCUGAGAGGGUGAUCGGCCACACUGGAACUGAGACACGGUCCAGACUCCUACGGGAGGCAGCAGUAGGGAAUCUUCCGCAAUGGGCGAAAGCCUGACGGAGCAACGCCGCGUGAGUGAUGAAGGUCUUCGGAUCGUAAAACUCUGUUAUUAGGGAAGAACAUAUGUGUAAGUAACUGUGCACAUCUUGACGGUACCUAAUCAGAAAGCCACGGCUAACUACGUG
Molecule: ribosomal RNA, 497 nt
Filed under: uncultured bacterium
Lineage: Bacteria
Description: partial 16S ribosomal RNA
Rfam family: Bacterial small subunit ribosomal RNA
Source: RNAcentral